This 620-nucleotide ribosomal RNA is filed under the name Chlorovibrissea sp. PDD70070. RNAcentral's name for it is "bacterial SSU rRNA". It matches the Rfam family "Eukaryotic small subunit ribosomal RNA", at positions 4 to 586 of the family's 1831-position model. Lineage: Eukaryota; Fungi; Ascomycota; Leotiomycetes; Helotiales; Vibrisseaceae. The record is from RNAcentral.
UUGGUUGAUCCUGCCAGUAGUCAUAUGCUUGUCUCAAAGAUUAAGCCAUGCAUGUCUAAGUAUAAGCAAUCUAUACGGUGAAACUGCGAAUGGCUCAUUAAAUCAGUUAUCGUUUAUUUGAUAGUACCUUACUACUUGGAUAACCGUGGUAAUUCUAGAGCUAAUACAUGCUAAAAACCCCGACUUCGGAAGGGGUGUAUUUAUUAGAUAAAAAACCAAUGCCCUUCGGGGCUCCUUGGUGAUUCAUAAUAACUUAACGAAUCGCAUGGCCUUGUGCCGGCGAUGGUUCAUUCAAAUUUCUGCCCUAUCAACUUUCGAUGGUAGUGUAUUGGACUACCAUGGUUUCAACGGGUAACGGGGAAUUAGGGUUCUAUUCCGGAGAGGGAGCCUGAUAAACGGCUACCACAUCCAAGGAAGGCAGCAGGCGCGCAAAUUACCCAAUCCCGACACCGGCGAGGUAGUGACAAUAAAUACUGAUACAGGGCUCUUUAGGGUCUUGUAAUUGGAAUGAGUACAAUUUAAAUCCCUUAACGAGGAACAAUUGGAGGGCAAGUCUGGUGAACUCAGUCCUGCUGACUCCAGAUAAAAUAGGGGCCGUGAGGCCCUAUUAGUCGCGCACC